CAGACCCAAAAACGCACCAAGGCAGUCCAUUAGGCGCGCGCGGGUCAAACAGUCGGGUCACCAAAACGGGUGGGUCUGGACGAGAUGGGUCGCGCGGAGAGAAGUGGGCUGCGCGCGAAGAUGGGACGGGCCGGAUGUGUGCUGUUCGGGCCGGGUGGACGCGAGCGGGCGCGGUUGAAGCGGGCGAACGCCUGGCCGCGCGAUGUCUCGCCACGUUGCGAAUCCUGGACGCGCAAGUGGGUCGGCUGGUACGGUUUCGGGUCAUUUUCGGGUCUGAGCAUGAAAUUCGGGUUUGAGGAAUAGUUGGUCAGAUGAGCAGGCCUUAAGGCCAAGUGGAGUAGGUGGAGGACCUUGAUUAUCUUUUUUGGGCGUGCCAGUAUGUAUGGGUCGUGUGGUGCUCUUUCUUGUAGGAGCUUGGUGUUAGCUUUGCAGGCCAAAGGAGCAUUUGUGGGACAAUUGAGAAGUUCCUUCUCCAUCUGCCCUUCAAAGAGAAAUGAAGCUUUUUGUGGCUUGCUGUGAUGUCUGUAGUUAUUUGGGAUGGUUGGGGAAAGAGGAAGGAUCCAGGGUUUUGUGGUAGGGAAAAGGGAUCAUAAUGAAGUUUGGUCUUGGUUUAGAUUUCACGUGUUCCUUUGGAAGUCGAUUUCAAUGACUUUUUGUAUGCUCUUGUAUUUUCUCAUUUUUCUGGAUGAAAGUAGUUGUUUCUAUAAAAGAAAAACAAAAUA
This is a long non-coding RNA of Cucumis sativus (cucumber), 722 nucleotides long. RefSeq lists it as uncharacterized. NCBI's taxonomy places the organism in Eukaryota, Viridiplantae, Streptophyta, Magnoliopsida, Cucurbitales, Cucurbitaceae. The record is from RefSeq and is a predicted model, not a curated record. The transcript is spliced from 3 exons.